Molecule: small RNA, 62 nt
Filed under: Dulcicalothrix desertica PCC 7102
Lineage: Bacteria; Bacillati; Cyanobacteriota; Cyanophyceae; Nostocales; Calotrichaceae
Description: Calothrix desertica PCC 7102 Nitrogen stress-induced RNA 1
Rfam family: Nitrogen stress-induced RNA 1
Source: Rfam by way of RNAcentral
UGGUAGAUGCACCCUAAUAAUUCACUCCCUCGGACGGUAACAACCAACUGAGGGAAUUUUUU